UGAUGAUCUGGCUGUGAUGUCCAUCAUCCUAUUGAUUUCUAGUAAUUAUUAGGAUUAUCUGACUAUCUAUUCAGGUGUCACUUUUCUCUGUCAGUUUUCACUUAUGUGUCCUUUUUGAAACUGCAUGGUAAUUAAAUGAUAAUCACCUUACCCAAGAGAGAUGUAUCUGCUUUUGUCCAUAAAUUUAUGAGUAUCUGUACUCAACAGCUAGAGCCUCCAAGAAGCUCUAAGGGACAUACAAUGUUACUAAACAGAUUAUACAACAUGCUACAUUAAGGAUGUUGAAAAGAAAAGAAUAAAGAAACUUAAUAAACAUAUUGUUAAAGAGCAGACACAUGCUUAAUUUCUUUAAU
Molecule: unclassified non-coding RNA, 353 nt
Organism: Mesocricetus auratus (golden hamster)
Lineage: Eukaryota; Metazoa; Chordata; Mammalia; Rodentia; Cricetidae
Gene: 7SK
Rfam family: 7SK RNA
About the family: 7SK was discovered as an abundant small nuclear RNA in the mid-70s but a possible function has only recently been suggested. Two independent studies have found that 7SK RNA binds the CDK9/cyclin T complex (known as elongation factor P-TEFb). P-TEFb activates transcription by phosphorylating the C-terminal domain of RNA polymerase II.
Source: Ensembl